This 497-nucleotide ribosomal RNA is filed under the name uncultured bacterium. RNAcentral's name for it is "partial 16S ribosomal RNA". It matches the Rfam family "Bacterial small subunit ribosomal RNA", at positions 28 to 507 of the family's 1533-position model. The record is from RNAcentral.
GAUGAACGCUGGCGGCGUGCCUAACACAUGCAAGUCGAGCGGACAGACGAGGCUUUUGCUCCGCUGACGUUAGGGGCGGACGGGUGAGUCACACGAGUAUACCCUACCUAUAUGACUGAGAUCACCUCGGGAAAGCGGAUCUAACACCGGAUAAGAUCUUGAACCGCAGGGUUCAUUGGAGAAAGACGGCUGUGCUGGCACUAAUCGAUGGUUCCGGGCCGCUUGAGCUAGUUGGUACGGUAACGGCCUUCCAAGGCGACCAUGCGUAGCCGACCUGUGAGGGUGAUCGGCCACACUGGAACUGAGACACGGUCCAGACUCCUACGGGAGGCAGCAGUAGGGAAUCUUCGGCAAUGGGCGAAAGCCUGACGGAGCCACGCCGCGUGAGUGAUGAAGGUCUUCGGAUCGUAAAGCUCUGUUAUUAGGGAAGAACAGCUGUGUACUUAAACAUGCCCGUCUUGACGGUACCUAAUCAAAAAGCCCCGGCUAACUACGUG